GGAAGAGCCUAUAUGGAGGGUGUCGGGAAACCGACUAUGGCGAUAAACGCCGCGUGAAAUAAGCGUUUCGGACCCGGGGGCAGUACCCGGCGCCUCCACCAUUUCUCUCCGCCCUCGGGCGGAACCGAUGGGGGCGAACCAGGAUCGACGAGCGUGGUAAAGGCGCGGUUUUUGCCCGGUAUGGUUCCGCCGUGACGGGCCAUUCACAAGUGCUAACGAUAACACCGUUACACUCGCUGCUGCCGCCUAAACAGCGGACGUAAGCGCGGUCCGGGGGGCACCGGGCAACAGAAGCCCCCCAC
Molecule: transfer-messenger RNA, 302 nt
Filed under: uncultured Reyranella sp.
Lineage: Bacteria; Pseudomonadati; Pseudomonadota; Alphaproteobacteria; Hyphomicrobiales; Reyranellaceae
Description: Alphaproteobacteria transfer-messenger RNA
Rfam family: Alphaproteobacteria transfer-messenger RNA
About the family: Bacterial tmRNA, also known as 10Sa RNA or SsrA, is named for its dual tRNA and mRNA-like properties. Its role is to liberate the mRNA from a stalled ribosome.
Source: RNAcentral